Molecule: long non-coding RNA, 305 nt
Filed under: Elaeis guineensis (African oil palm)
Lineage: Eukaryota; Viridiplantae; Streptophyta; Magnoliopsida; Arecales; Arecaceae
Description: long non-coding RNA (EGUI_LNC016372)
Source: RNAcentral
GGCCGAACAAUGGAUAUUCGACUUGUCAUCGUUAUCCUAUCCGAAUAUGUCAGACGCCACUCAACUAUCAGACUCUACGAAAUGAUCGUGUCGACGUGCUACGUCCGACCAAAGGUCGGAUAAUGGAUAUUCGACUUGUCAUUGUUAUCCUAUCCGAAUACGUCGGACGCCACUCAACUAUCAGACUCUACGGAAUGAUCGUGCCGACGUGCACGCCCGACCAAGGACCGAACAACGGAUUAUCGACUUGUCAUCGUUAUCCUAUCCGAAUAUGUUGGACACUACUCGACUAUCAGAUUCUAUGA